CUCAUCUGGCUGUGGCAGUUUGUGACUGAAUGAGAGAAAAGUGCCCUAGAAGCUAUUCAUUAGGAAUUCACUGGAAGCUCUCAAACAAGCCUGGCAGAAGCUGAAAUUGAAGUGGUCUCUGACCUAAUUUUCUUCUGCAUGAAACAUCUGCAUCAAGGCUCUCUUUGAUGUAUUCCACUUGGCUCUGUCUACAGUAUUGUAUCACAUGGCUUCAGUGUUGCCUCAGUUUUAAAAGACAUUUCCAGCCUGUAGAAGCAGGCAAACAGCUCAAAGUUGGGAUCGACUGGAGCAUAAAGAGACAAUUUGGCACCUCCUUUGUACGGCAGCACUCCGAGCUGGACAGGAGAAAGUGACUGGCCCGAUCCUCCUCACCUUGGAUUCCCUGGUGUAGCUUCCUCUCCCGUGGCCCUGCUGUCUCCCAGUGGGAGGCAGAGCUCACACUCAGCACUGGCCCGGACCACUGAAGCUACGAAGGGAAGGGCAGAGUGAGUCCGGCUUCUUCCUCUAGCCUGGCCUUCACCGAGGAGGAGGAGCAAUUGCCCAUAACUGCCUGGAGAGGAGAGAGAAGAAAAGAGAAUGCCUCAUGACGUGAAUUAUUGACUGGCCAGGGUGAGGCAAGGAAACACAAAUUAAUUUCAGUUAGGACAAGGGGAUGCUCAUUGGGGCUCAGACUGGGGACAUUUGAUCUAAAACUGCUGCCUUAUUCACUUACCCUCCCAGUCCCACUUCGAAGUCUUGCUUUGAAUCAACAAUGCUUGAAAUGAAUCCAGGUUCCCCUCCCGGCCGCCCCCCCACCCCUUUUCUUCCGCCCUUUUCACACCAUGGAGGCAGUGUCUCCUUUUGUGUCUCUCCAGAUUUCUCAGUUGAAGCUGAGGAAGCCAUCUAUUGAAGGGGAGCCACAUCCGUCCAGUCCAGAGGAGGAGUAGGGUGUCCUCUGCUAGAGUUUAGAGCCCCUGUGGCCUCAGUCCGAUGUGAGCUGACAUGGUGUUAAUGAGUCAAAAUGACUUUCAUGGGAGAAAGCCCUGCAGUGGUUCACAGUUUGGGGUCUAUUUUUAGCACAGCUGGAAAACACAAGCACACAGAGAUAUUGUUUGCUGUCCUGACUACUGAGGCACAUAAUAUCCUGCUCCCAGGAGGGUUAAUUCCCUAUUCAUGAGCAAUCCUCUGUUUAGGACCAGUCUAGUGAAAUGUUCAUAUUGCUCCCCAGGAGGGGAGGGGAACUCAGUUGUCCAGCUUCCUCAAGAUCAUGGCCACUGGUUCCCUGGCUGAUUUCAGGGAAGUAAGCUGAGAAGACAGAAGGAGAAUAGAGGAGAACAGUGCUGAUAAAAGAAAUAGGUUCUUUUCUCUCCUGGACAGAAUGGCUGAAGGACCCCACUCAAGCUCUCCCUUGGAAAGAUGGAGAUGGUCUUUGCUAAUGUGGGUGGUUGCUGAUCUAAUGUGAGGCAGAGAGAUGGGGUGAGAUGGCAUGGUAAAGAAAUAUUUGAUCUCUAGAAGAUGGGAAGAGGGAGAAAAAGACUUGGUUUCCUCAAAUAUGAAACAAAUACAUAAAUAAUCACUUACUUUUGAAUGAUAUGGUAAUUAUUUUCCAUAAAAACAUUUAGGUAUGCCUGACUGAGAAGAAAUAAAACAUAGAAGGAUCAUUUCA
This 1645-nucleotide long non-coding RNA is filed under the name Monodelphis domestica (gray short-tailed opossum). RNAcentral's name for it is "lncRNA (ENSMODG00000038544.1)". The record is from RNAcentral. Lineage: Eukaryota; Metazoa; Chordata; Mammalia; Didelphimorphia; Didelphidae.